AGAUCCUUUUAUGCCUUGACUGUGAUGGACACAAAACCUAAAAUGCCAAGGAAAUCAUACAGAAUGAAUAAAUUUACCUGAGGUCACAAAAGAGGAGUCUGAACAGAACUGGAAGCUUGUCUUGCUGUGGAUACGUGGUGUUUUACUAUACUUUCGGCAGCUCACAACCUCGUGUGACUCCAGUCUGUGGGAUCUGAUGCCCGGUGCCCUCUUCUGCCCUCUGGGCAUGGCACAUGGUACGCAGACAUGGGUUCAAUCAGAACACGCAUACACCGUUCUUGCUUCCUGUGGUUACAUGGGUUCCAAGGAUUGAACUCAGGCUGCUGGGUGACCAAGGUCCUUGCCCUCACUUGCUGAGCCAUCCCACCCUGGGCAGCAUUUUUUUUUUUGGAUUAUUCAGGUUUCUUAAGCAAUUGACUAGGAGCUUACUUUGAACGGCAAUUUACAAGCAAUGUAUAUGAGGCAGUAGAAUAUUUUGAAAUG
This 483-nucleotide long non-coding RNA is filed under the name Mus musculus (house mouse). RNAcentral describes it as "long non-coding RNA chr16:93606125-93606608". Lineage: Eukaryota; Metazoa; Chordata; Mammalia; Rodentia; Muridae. The record is from RNAcentral.